Molecule: long non-coding RNA, 390 nt
Filed under: Mytilus galloprovincialis (Mediterranean mussel)
Lineage: Eukaryota; Metazoa; Mollusca; Bivalvia; Mytilida; Mytilidae
Source: RNAcentral
UUUUUUCGAAUUGCUCGGGAUUUAUCAUAACAUACAUUGAAUUAAAACGAAAGUGAAUGUCCGGUAAAAAUAUUGAAUAGAAGCAUGUUUUCAGCUUCUUUUGAAUAGCUGAGGGAAAGUUAUGAUGAUAACAAGACUCAGCCAGUGAUUUUAGGAAGCGUCCAUCUAACGCACGGGCGUGUUUGCGUAACUUAACGAGAACAUUGCUAAUAAACACGGGGUUUCGUCAAAAACAAACUCAGUUGGAAAAAGUGAAAGGCCAAAUCAUGAUAUGUAGUUGGAAAGCAUCGGAAACCAAAAGUUCUAAUAAGGGAUCACUUAACCCAGAUUUAUGUAAAUUGAAUAAAACAAAAACAUUCAAGUAUAGUUAGAGUUUAUAUACUAUUUUUU